CAUGCAAGUCGAACGGCAGCGCGGGGCAACCUGGCGGCGAGUGGCGAACGGGUGAGUAAUAUAUCGGAACGUACCCUGGAGUGGGGGAUAACGUAGCGAAAGUUACGCUAAUACCGCAUACGAUCUAAGGAUGAAAGUGGGGGAUCGCAAGACCUCAUGCUCCUGGAGCGGCCGAUAUCUGAUUAGCUAGUUGGUGGGGUAAAGGCCUACCAAGGCAUCGAUCAGUAGCUGGUCUGAGAGGACGACCAGCCACACUGGAACUGAGACACGGUCCAGACUCCUACGGGAGGCAGCAGUGGGGAAUUUUGGACAAUGGGCGCAAGCCUGAUCCAGCAAUGCCGCGUGAGUGAAGAAGGCCUUCGGGUUGUAAAGCUCUUUUGUCAGGGAAGAAACGGUGAGGGCUAAUAUCCCUUGCUAAUGACGGUACCUGAAGAAUAAGCACCGGCUAACUACGUGCCAGCAGCCGCGGUAAUACGUAGGGUGCAAGCGUUAAUCGGAAUUACUGGGCGUAAAGCGUGCGCAGGCGGUUUUGUAAGUCUGUCGUGAAAUCCCCGGGCUCAACCUGGGAAUUGCGAUGGAGACUGCAAGGCUAGAAUCUGGCAGAGGGGGGUAGAAUUCCACGUGUAGCAGUGAAAUGCGUANAGAUGUGGAGGAACACCGA
RNAcentral lists this ribosomal RNA (661 nucleotides) under uncultured bacterium. RNAcentral's name for it is "bacterial SSU rRNA". It matches the Rfam family "Bacterial small subunit ribosomal RNA", at positions 54 to 712 of the family's 1533-position model. The record is from RNAcentral.